GAGUUCAAGAGUACGUGAAACCGUUCAGGGGUAAACCUGAGAAACCCGAAAGGUCGAACGGGGAGAUUCAGACGCGUCUCGGAUAACCGCGGCGAGUCGGUGACGAGUGACGGUCUGCGUUCGCGCUGGCCGCUCAGUUCUCGUUCCGUCGCGGCCGAACGCGUGCACUUCUCCCCCUGUAGGACGUCGCGACCCGUUGGGUGCCGGUCUAAGGCCCGCGGCGGAGCCCGUUCGAGCUAGCGCUCGUUCGGACCCGCGGUGUCCCGGCCGGCGACUUACCGACGGUACGAUUGAGGCGCGGGGCCGCGACCAGUUCGCGUCCGGCCGGUCGCAAGUGCGAACGGACAACUCGAAAUCCGGACCUCGUGCCGGAUCCGGGCCCGCUCGACUGCUGGCGACCGCGACCUCGGACAGACCCCGAACACGCCCGUCGGCGGCGCUAUAGCUUUGGGUACUUUCAGGACCCGUCUUGAAACACGGACCAAGGAGUCUAGCAUGUGCGCGAGUCAUUGGGACUGUACGAAACCUAAAGGCGCAAUGAAAGUGAAGGUCGUCUCGCGCGGACCGAGGGAGGAUGGGUGGUCUCGAGGGACCGCCCCGCACUCCCGGGGCGUCUCGUUCUCAUCGCGAGAAGAGGCGCACCCAGAGCGUACACGCUGGGACCCGAAAGAUGGUGAACUAUGCCUGGUCAGGACGAAGUCAGGGGAAACCCUGAUGGAGGUCCGUAGCGAUUCUGACGUGCAAAUCGAUCGUCGGAACUGGGUAUAGGGGCGAAAGACUAAUCGAACCAUCUAGUAGCUGGUUC
Molecule: ribosomal RNA, 805 nt
Filed under: Aclopus sp. AEM-2009
Lineage: Eukaryota; Metazoa; Arthropoda; Insecta; Coleoptera; Scarabaeidae
Description: eukaryotic LSU rRNA
Rfam family: Eukaryotic large subunit ribosomal RNA
Source: RNAcentral